GCUUCAUGUUCCACUUCCCAGGAAAAGUGUUGAACUUUGAAUGUUGCUCUGACUUUCUGUGUGUCUUCCAGUCCUCUCUCUCUCUCUCUCUCUCUCUCUCUCCAGCUGAUUGGGCUCCUCCAACAUGCUCUGCACCCUGCUCUACCUGUCUGCUCUCAUCGGGCUGGCAGGUGCUCAGAUAUUUUCCCUUCCUGCAGUGUUUAACAUCAGCUCAUGCCCCAUCACGUUUUAUGGACAGAAGUACGAACAACUCUAUGUGAACUCCACAAAUGUCUGUUUCAUUGACCCUUUCAACAAUCAAACCAGACAGGACUGUAUUGUAGG
Long non-coding RNA from Micropterus dolomieu (smallmouth bass), 324 nucleotides. RefSeq lists it as uncharacterized. The transcript is spliced from 3 exons. NCBI's taxonomy places the organism in Eukaryota, Metazoa, Chordata, Actinopteri, Centrarchiformes, Centrarchidae. The record is from RefSeq and is a predicted model, not a curated record.